AACGAACGCUGGCGGCAGGCUUAACACAUGCAAGUCGAGCGCCCCGCAAGGGGAGCGGCAGACGGGUGAGUAACGCGUGGGAAUCUACCCAUCACUACGGAACAACUCCGGGAAACUGGAGCUAAUACCGUAUACGUCCUUCGGGAGAAAGAUUUAUCGGUGAUGGAUGAGCCCGCGUUGGAUUAGCUAGUUGGUGGGGUAAUGGCCCACCAAGGCGACGAUCCAUAGCUGGUCUGAGAGGAUGAUCAGCCACACUGGGACUGAGACACGGCCCAGACUCCUACGGGAGGCAGCAGUGGGGAAUAUUGGACAAUGGGCGCAAGCCUGAUCCAGCCAUGCCGCGUGAGUGAUGAAGGCCCUAGGGUUGUAAAGCUCUUUCACCGGUGAAGAUAAUGACGGUAACCGGAGAAGAAGCCCCGGCUAACUUCGUGCCAGCAGCCGCCGCCG
This 447-nucleotide ribosomal RNA is filed under the name uncultured bacterium. Its description in RNAcentral is "partial 16S ribosomal RNA". It matches the Rfam family "Bacterial small subunit ribosomal RNA", at positions 29 to 523 of the family's 1533-position model. The record is from RNAcentral.